UUGACAUCCCCUGACAACCCUAGAGAUAGGGCGUUCCCCCUUCGGCGGGACAGGGUGACAGGUGGUGCAUGGUUGUCGUCAGCUCGUGUCGUGAGAUGUUGGGUUAAGUCCCGCAACGAGCGCAACCCUCGACCUUAGUUGCCAGCAUUCAGUUGGGCACUCUAAGGUGACUGCCGGUGACAAACCGGAGGAAGG
Molecule: ribosomal RNA, 195 nt
Filed under: uncultured bacterium
Lineage: Bacteria
Description: partial 16S ribosomal RNA
Rfam family: Bacterial small subunit ribosomal RNA
Source: RNAcentral